AUUGAACGCUGGCGGCAUGCUUUACACAUGCAAGUCGAACGGUAACAGGCCGCAAGGUGCUGACGAGUGGCGAACGGGUGAGUAAUGCAUCGGAACGUGCCCAGUCGUGGGGGAUAACUACUCGAAAGAGUAGCUAAUACCGCAUACGAUCUAUGGAUGAAAGCGGGGGACCGUAAGGCCUCGCGCGAUUGGAGCGGCCGAUGUCAGAUUAGGUAGUUGGUGGGGUAAAGGCUCACCAAGCCAACGAUCUGUAGCUGGUCUGAGAGGACAACCAGCCACACUGGGACUGAGACACGGCCCAGACUCCUACGGGAGGCAGCAGUGGGGAAUUUUGGACAAAGGGCGCAAGCCUGAUCCAGCAAUGCCGCGUGCAGGAAGAAGGCCUUCGGGUUGUAAACUGCUUUUGUACGGAACGAAACGGCUCUGGUUAAUACCCGGGGCUAAUGACGGUACCGUAAGAAUAAGCACCGGCUAGCUACGUG
RNAcentral lists this ribosomal RNA (482 nucleotides) under uncultured bacterium. RNAcentral's name for it is "partial 16S ribosomal RNA". It matches the Rfam family "Bacterial small subunit ribosomal RNA", at positions 30 to 507 of the family's 1533-position model. The record is from RNAcentral.